AUGUGAUCGUCUCUCGCAUAUCAAUAAGCGGAGGAAAAGAAACUAACAAGGAUUCCCCUAGUAACGGCGAGUGAAGCGGGAAGAGCUCAAAUUUGAAAUCUUAAAGGGUUUCCCUUUACGAAUUGUAGUUUAAAGAAGUGUUUUCUGUUGAGGUUUUGGUAAAAGUUCUUUGGAAUAGGACAUCAUAGAGGGUGAGAAUCCCGUAUUUGACCUUUACUUUCAACUUUGUGAUACACUUUCAAAGAGUCGGAUUGUUUGGGAAUGCAGUCCAAAAUGGGUGGUAAAUUUCAUCUAAAGCUAAAUAUUGGCGAGAGACCGAUAGCGGACAAGCACCGUGAGGGAAAGAUGAAAAGAACUUUGAAAAGAGAGUUAAACAGUACGUGAAAUUGUCAAAAGGGAAGCGUUUGACACCAGUGCUGUUUUUCUGAAAAUCAAUUAAAGAACUGUUUAUGCUAAGUUGUUUAGACUUUAUCAGCUAACUGUUUAGUUUUGAGCUUUUCUUUAAUGCACUUUUCAGUUAACAAGUCAACAUCAAUUUCUUUUGCUGUAAAAAAGCUUGAGGAAGGUGGCUUGAGAUUCGUCUUAAGUGUUUAUAGCCUCUUGCCUAUGCAGUCGGAGAGAUUGAGGUCUGCAGCGUAGAUCCUUCGGGGCUAAAUGCAUUUGUGCUAAGCUAUAGCAUUUUAUAGACAACUUGUUGACUAUGAUUUGUCUUGUAGCUUACUCGCUUAUGUUAUUUUACCUACGCUUAGGAUGUUGACACACGCGCGUGCUCG
RNAcentral lists this ribosomal RNA (773 nucleotides) under uncultured Neocallimastigales. RNAcentral's name for it is "partial large subunit ribosomal RNA". It matches the Rfam family "Eukaryotic large subunit ribosomal RNA", at positions 24 to 646 of the family's 3401-position model. The record is from RNAcentral. Lineage: Eukaryota; Fungi; Neocallimastigomycota; Neocallimastigomycetes; Neocallimastigales.